This 2904-nucleotide ribosomal RNA is filed under the name Escherichia coli HVH 147 (4-5893887). RNAcentral describes it as "bacterial LSU rRNA". It matches the Rfam family "Bacterial large subunit ribosomal RNA". Lineage: Bacteria; Pseudomonadati; Pseudomonadota; Gammaproteobacteria; Enterobacterales; Enterobacteriaceae. The record is from RNAcentral.
UUAAGCGACUAAGCGUACACGGUGGAUGCCCUGGCAGUCAGAGGCGAUGAAGGACGUGCUAAUCUGCGAUAAGCGUCGGUAAGGUGAUAUGAACCGUUAUAACCGGCGAUUUCCGAAUGGGGAAACCCAGUGUGAUUCGUCACACUAUCAUUAACUGAAUCCAUAGGUUAAUGAGGCGAACCGGGGGAACUGAAACAUCUAAGUACCCCGAGGAAAAGAAAUCAACCGAGAUUCCCCCAGUAGCGGCGAGCGAACGGGGAGCAGCCCAGAGCCUGAAUCAGUGUGUGUGUUAGUGGAAGCGUCUGGAAAGGCGCGCGAUACAGGGUGACAGCCCCGUACACAAAAAUGCACAUACUGUGAGCUCGAUGAGUAGGGCGGGACACGUGGUAUCCUGUCUGAAUAUGGGGGGACCAUCCUCCAAGGCUAAAUACUCCUGACUGACCGAUAGUGAACCAGUACCGUGAGGGAAAGGCGAAAAGAACCCCGGCGAGGGGAGUGAAAAAGAACCUGAAACCGUGUACGUACAAGCAGUGGGAGCACAGAGCAAUCUGUGUGACUGCGUACCUUUUGUAUAAUGGGUCAGCGACUUAUAUUCUGUAGCAAGGUUAACCGAAUAGGGGAGCCGAAGGGAAACCGAGUCUUAACUGGGCGUUAAGUUGCAGGGUAUAGACCCGAAACCCGGUGAUCUAGCCAUGGGCAGGUUGAAGGUUGGGUAACACUAACUGGAGGACCGAACCGACUAAUGUUGAAAAAUUAGCGGAUGACUUGUGGCUGGGGGUGAAAGGCCAAUCAAACCGGGAGAUAGCUGGUUCUCCCCGAAAGCUAUUUAGGUAGCGCCUCGUGAAUUCAUCUCCGGGGGUAGAGCACUGUUUCGGCAAGGGGGUCAUCCCGACUUACCAACCCGAUGCAAACUGCGAAUACCGGAGAAUGUUAUCACGGGAGACACACGGCGGGUGCUAACGUCCGUCGUGAAGAGGGAAACAACCCAGACCGCCAGCUAAGGUCCCAAAGUCAUGGUUAAGUGGGAAACGAUGUGGGAAGGCCCAGACAGCCAGGAUGUUGGCUUAGAAGCAGCCAUCAUUUAAAGAAAGCGUAAUAGCUCACUGGUCGAGUCGGCCUGCGCGGAAGAUGUAACGGGGCUAAACCAUGCACCGAAGCUGCGGCAGCGACGCUUAUGCGUUGUUGGGUAGGGGAGCGUUCUGUAAGCCUGCGAAGGUGUGCUGUGAGGCAUGCUGGAGGUAUCAGAAGUGCGAAUGCUGACAUAAGUAACGAUAAAGCGGGUGAAAAGCCCGCUCGCCGGAAGACCAAGGGUUCCUGUCCAACGUUAAUCGGGGCAGGGUGAGUCGACCCCUAAGGCGAGGCCGAAAGGCGUAGUCGAUGGGAAACAGGUUAAUAUUCCUGUACUUGGUGUUACUGCGAAGGGGGGACGGAGAAGGCUAUGUUGGCCGGGCGACGGUUGUCCCGGUUUAAGCGUGUAGGCUGGUUUUCCAGGCAAAUCCGGAAAAUCAAGGCUGAGGCGUGAUGACGAGGCACUACGGUGCUGAAGCAACAAAUGCCCUGCUUCCAGGAAAAGCCUCUAAGCAUCAGGUAACAUCAAAUCGUACCCCAAACCGACACAGGUGGUCAGGUAGAGAAUACCAAGGCGCUUGAGAGAACUCGGGUGAAGGAACUAGGCAAAAUGGUGCCGUAACUUCGGGAGAAGGCACGCUGAUAUGUAGGUGAAGUCCCUCGCGGAUGGAGCUGAAAUCAGUCGAAGAUACCAGCUGGCUGCAACUGUUUAUUAAAAACACAGCACUGUGCAAACACGAAAGUGGACGUAUACGGUGUGACGCCUGCCCGGUGCCGGAAGGUUAAUUGAUGGGGUUAGCGCAAGCGAAGCUCUUGAUCGAAGCCCCGGUAAACGGCGGCCGUAACUAUAACGGUCCUAAGGUAGCGAAAUUCCUUGUCGGGUAAGUUCCGACCUGCACGAAUGGCGUAAUGAUGGCCAGGCUGUCUCCACCCGAGACUCAGUGAAAUUGAACUCGCUGUGAAGAUGCAGUGUACCCGCGGCAAGACGGAAAGACCCCGUGAACCUUUACUAUAGCUUGACACUGAACAUUGAGCCUUGAUGUGUAGGAUAGGUGGGAGGCUUGGAAGUGUGGACGCCAGUCUGCAUGGAGCCGACCUUGAAAUACCACCCUUUAAUGUUUGAUGUUCUAACGUUGACCCGUGAUCCGGGUUGCGGACAGUGUCUGGUGGGUAGUUUGACUGGGGCGGUCUCCUCCUAAAGAGUAACGGAGGAGCACGAAGGUUGGCUAAUCCUGGUCGGACAUCAGGAGGUUAGUGCAAUGGCAUAAGCCAGCUUGACUGCGAGCGUGACGGCGCGAGCAGGUGCGAAAGCAGGUCAUAGUGAUCCGGUGGUUCUGAAUGGAAGGGCCAUCGCUCAACGGAUAAAAGGUACUCCGGGGAUAACAGGCUGAUACCGCCCAAGAGUUCAUAUCGACGGCGGUGUUUGGCACCUCGAUGUCGGCUCAUCACAUCCUGGGGCUGAAGUAGGUCCCAAGGGUAUGGCUGUUCGCCAUUUAAAGUGGUACGCGAGCUGGGUUUAGAACGUCGUGAGACAGUUCGGUCCCUAUCUGCCGUGGGCGCUGGAGAACUGAGGGGGGCUGCUCCUAGUACGAGAGGACCGGAGUGGACGCAUCACUGGUGUUCGGGUUGUCAUGCCAAUGGCACUGCCCGGUAGCUAAAUGCGGAAGAGAUAAGUGCUGAAAGCAUCUAAGCACGAAACUUGCCCCGAGAUGAGUUCUCCCUGACUCCUUGAGGGUCCUGAAGGAACGUUGAAGACGACGACGUUGAUAGGCCGGGUGUGUAAGCGCAGCGAUGCGUUGAGCUAACCGGUACUAAUGAACCGUGAGGCUUAACCUU